ACGAACGCUGGCGGCGUGCUUAACACCUGCAAGUCGAACGGAAAGGCCCUGCUUUUGUGGGGUGCUCGAGUGGCGAACGGGUGAGUAACACGUGAGUAACCUGCCCUUGACUUUGGGAUAACCUCAGGAAACUGGGGCUACUACCGGAUAGGAGCUCCUGCUGCAUGGUGGGGGUUGGAAAGUUUCGGCGGUUGGGGAUGGACUUGCGGCUUAUCAGCUUGUUGGUGGGGUAGUGGCUUACCAAGGCUUUGACGGGUAGCCGGCCUGAGAGGGUGACCGGCCACAUUGGGACUGAGAUACGGCCCAGACUCCUACGGGAGGCAGCAGUGGGGAAUAUUGCACAAUGGGCGGAAGCGUGAUGCAGCAGCGCCGCGUGCGGAAUGACGGCCUUCGGGUUGUAAACCGCUUUCGCCUGUGACGAAGCGUGAGUGACGGUACUGGGUAAAGAAGCACCGGCUAACUACGUG
Molecule: ribosomal RNA, 467 nt
Filed under: uncultured bacterium
Lineage: Bacteria
Description: partial 16S ribosomal RNA
Rfam family: Bacterial small subunit ribosomal RNA
Source: RNAcentral